This 73-nucleotide transfer RNA is filed under the name Amborella trichopoda. RNAcentral's name for it is "tRNA-Asn". It matches the Rfam family "tRNA". From Rfam's summary of the family: Transfer RNA (tRNA) molecules are approximately 80 nucleotides in length. Lineage: Eukaryota; Viridiplantae; Streptophyta; Magnoliopsida; Amborellales; Amborellaceae. The record is from RNAcentral.
CCGACUUUAGCUCAGUUGGUAGAGCGAAAAUCCAUUCAUCCUUAGGUCGUUGGUUUGAAUCCGGUAGGUCGGA